CGCACUCAUACCCGCAGAUGAAUUCUCACUUCAGUAUGUAACAAUUGAUGUCGCCAUACAAUCCAUUAUCUCAUCUGGUAGUCACCCCUGGCUCAGCAAAAUGGACAUCACAAAUGCUUUUAAAUUACUACCCAUGCACCCCUCACUCUGGCACUUGCACGGUGUUAAAUGGCGAGAAAAGUACUACUUCUCCACACGACUCACUUUCGGUUCUCGAAGCAGCCCCAAACUGUUCGAUAUCUUUGCCGAGACGCUAUGCUGGCUGCUUCUGAACGUCCUCAGGUGUAACUCUGUUAUCCAUUACUUAGACGACUUCUUACUGAUAGAGCCAGGGGUACAAACACCCACCACUAUCAGCAGUACUACAGCACUUUUUUCCACACUUGGUGUACCAUUAUCUCCAUCAAAAACAAUCGGCCCCACAACUAAAUUAACCUUUUUGGGGAUAGAGCUAGACUCUGUUACCCUCCGAGAUAGCCUUCCCCACGACAAACUGAUCCGCUAGAGAGGGGAGAUAGACAUGUUACUGUGGAAU
Molecule: non-coding RNA, 535 nt
Organism: Pelobates cultripes (western spadefoot toad)
Lineage: Eukaryota; Metazoa; Chordata; Amphibia; Anura; Pelobatidae
Source: the annotation of a GenBank genome assembly